UUUAAUCAUGCACGUCUGUUUACUGUAACCCCGGUAACUGUUGAAUUUGCGAUUCAGCGCCAUCUACUGUCAAAGUAGAGUAUUUAUACAGCGUGCCAGAUGUGUUUGCUUUGAGAUUUAAUUAAUUAUUCUUUUCUUUAAAUGUAGACAUUCUUGGAGAUGUUGUAUUAAAAACCCUACAAAAUGGCCAGCAAGAUGAUUCAGCCUUCCUACAGUACCAAGAGGCAAAGCAAACAUUUAUUAAUUUGCAACCUGUCAGAAAACAAACAUAAUUCAGUAUUUGGAGGAGGAGGUAUGAAGAAGACCCCAUGUCCUGCUAUGGGAUGAAUUUCACUAAUCACAAGCCUUUGUUAUCGUGGGGAGGCAUGGCCCAGGAGCAACACCAGCAGUUGACAUGUGCUUUAAUAUUUUUUUUACAUUUUAUACAGAGUAUCCCAAGCCUUUCACUACUGUUAAGUAGUUUCUGUAACACAAUACAUUUUGUACCAGGUGAUGUUUCCUGAACACACUGUCACCUGCUUAAAGGGACAGUUCCCCCAAAAAUGAAAAUUGUCAUAAUUUUCUUCCUCUCCUGUCGUUACAAACCUGUACACAUUUUUUUGUUCUGAUGACCACAAAGGAAGAUAUUUUGAGUAAUCUUUGAAACCAAACAGAUCAUGAGCCCCAUUGACUGUCAUAGUAGGAAAAAAGAAUACUAUGAAAAUGAAUGGGGCUCAUGAUCGGUUUGAUUUCAAACAUUCUUUGAAAUAUACCUUUGUGGUUAUCAAAGUAAAGACUUAUAUACAGGUUUAUAACAACAUGAGAGGGAGAAAAUGAUGACAAAAUGUGUGAACUCUGCUUUUAAGCAGUUUUUAGUUGGAUAAGAUUGAGUAGAUUUGUUUUGUUCUUAUGUUUUUGUUUAUUUAUGUAUGUAUAUAUUUAUGUAUGUGUGUAUGUAUUUAUGCUUCUAUACAUGUAUGUAUUUAUACAUUUAAAUGCAGGUGCAAAUGACUAAAUGAAAUUAAAGCAUUAUAAAUGUA
Non-coding RNA from Misgurnus anguillicaudatus (oriental weatherfish), 1019 nucleotides. The record is from RefSeq and is a predicted model, not a curated record. Lineage: Eukaryota; Metazoa; Chordata; Actinopteri; Cypriniformes; Cobitidae.